Molecule: ribosomal RNA, 282 nt
Filed under: Triticum aestivum (bread wheat)
Lineage: Eukaryota; Viridiplantae; Streptophyta; Magnoliopsida; Poales; Poaceae
Description: partial small subunit ribosomal RNA
Source: RNAcentral
AUGGCUGCACAAGACACUCCUAUGAUCACCGAGGAUGACUAUGAGACUCAGCAGAAGAAGCAAGCUGCUGCAGAUGUUCUUUUCAACUAUUCACAGUUUGUUAUGGUGUGCAUUGGUGAGGGAGUUCGCCCGACUGAUCUCCGGUUGCAUCUUAUGAAGGAAAUUUCAGGGAUGCCCACCUCUUUGAAGGAAGAGCCACGGCAGGCAGCUGCCUCCCCAAAUUCUAGCGGUGAACCAUCAUCCUCUGGGACGAUGAAAGAAGACAGGAGCGAAAUCCCAUAA